GAUGAACGCUGGCGGCGUGCCUAAUACAUGCAAGUCGAGCGAACAGAUGAGGAGCUUGCUCCUCUGACGUUAGCGGCGGACGGGUGAGUAACACGUGGAUAACCUACCUAUAAGACUGGGAUAACUUCGGGAAACCGGAGCUAAUACCGGAUAAUAUAUUGAACCGCAUGGUUCAAUAGUGAAAGACGGUUUUGCUGUCACUUAUAGAUGGAUCCGCGCCGCAUUAGCUAGUUGGUAAGGUAACGGCUUACCAAGGCAACGAUGCGUAUCCGAACUGAGAGGGUGAUCGGCCACACUGGAACUGAGACACGGUCCAGACUCCUACGGGAGGCAGCAGUAGGGAAUCUUCCGCAAUGGGCGAAAGCCUGACGGAGCAACGCCGCGUGAGUGAUGAAGGUCUUCGGAUCGUAAAACUCUGUUAUUAGGGAAGAACAAAUGUGUAAGUAACUAUGCACGUCUUGACGGUACCUAAUCAGAAAGCCACGGCUAACUACGUG
RNAcentral lists this ribosomal RNA (497 nucleotides) under uncultured bacterium. Its description in RNAcentral is "partial 16S ribosomal RNA". It matches the Rfam family "Bacterial small subunit ribosomal RNA", at positions 28 to 507 of the family's 1533-position model. The record is from RNAcentral.